UACGAUGCCAUGAUGUUGAAUCGUAUGAAUCAUCUGGGCUAUAGACUGUUAUGGUGGUUGCGUAUGGUUAUUGGUGGUUAGAGUUUGAUUCUUGGUUUUGAGUUUGGGUGUGUGACAUGAAUUGGUUGCGAGGUUGGGUGUUUGGUUGUUAGGUAUAUAUGGUAGGGUGAUGGUGUGAGGUUGGUUGUUGGGUUUGGGUGGAUUGACAUUGUUCUUGGAAGGGGAUUUGUUG
RNAcentral lists this long non-coding RNA (232 nucleotides) under Lathyrus oleraceus (garden pea). Its description in RNAcentral is "Pisum sativum (pea) long non-coding RNA (PSAT_LNC023202)". The record is from RNAcentral. Lineage: Eukaryota; Viridiplantae; Streptophyta; Magnoliopsida; Fabales; Fabaceae.